RNAcentral lists this unclassified non-coding RNA (328 nucleotides) under soil metagenome. RNAcentral's name for it is "partial contains 5.8S ribosomal RNA, internal transcribed spacer 2, and large subunit ribosomal RNA". The stretch from base 1 to 120 matches the Rfam family "5.8S ribosomal RNA", at positions 35 to 154 of the family's 154-position model. The record is from RNAcentral.
GAUGAAGAACGUAGCGAAAUGCGAUAAGUAAUGUGAAUUGCAGAAUUCAGUGAAUCAUCGAAUCUUUGAACGCACAUUGCGCCCUCUGGUAUUCCGGGGGGCAUGCCUGUUCGAGCGUCAUUACAACCCUCAAGCUUUGCUUGGUAUUGGACAUUGCCAGUUUCUGGCAGGUCUUAAAAUCAGUGGCGGUGCCAUUUGGCUUCAAGCGUAGUAAUUCUUCUCGCUUUGGAGAUCCAAGUGGUUACUUGCCAAUAACCCCCAAUUUUUUCAGGUUGACCUCGGAUCAGGUAGGGAUACCCGCUGAACUUAAGCAUAUCAAUAGCGGAGG